GGGUUGUGAGGUUAAGCGACUAAGCGUACACGGUGGAUGCCCUGGCAGUCAGAGGCGAUGAAGGACGUGCUAAUCUGCGAUAAGCGUCGGUAAGGUGAUAUGAACCGUUAUAACCGGCGAUUUCCGAAUGGGGAAACCCAGUGUGAUUCGUCACACUAUCAUUAACUGAAUCCAUAGGUUAAUGAGGCGAACCGGGGGAACUGAAACAUCUAAGUACCCCGAGGAAAAGAAAUCAACCGAGAUUCCCCCAGUAGCGGCGAGCGAACGGGGAGCAGCCCAGAGCCUGAAUCAGUGUGUGUGUUAGUGGAAGCGUCUGGAAAGGCGCGCGAUACAGGGUGACAGCCCCGUACACAAAAAUGCACAUACUGUGAGCUCGAUGAGUAGGGCGGGACACGUGGUAUCCUGUCUGAAUAUGGGGGGACCAUCCUCCAAGGCUAAAUACUCCUGACUGACCGAUAGUGAACCAGUACCGUGAGGGAAAGGCGAAAAGAACCCCGGCGAGGGGAGUGAAAAAGAACCUGAAACCGUGUACGUACAAGCAGUGGGAGCACAGAGCAAUCUGUGUGACUGCGUACCUUUUGUAUAAUGGGUCAGCGACUUAUAUUCUGUAGCAAGGUUAACCGAAUAGGGGAGCCGAAGGGAAACCGAGUCUUAACUGGGCGUUAAGUUGCAGGGUAUAGACCCGAAACCCGGUGAUCUAGCCAUGGGCAGGUUGAAGGUUGGGUAACACUAACUGGAGGACCGAACCGACUAAUGUUGAAAAAUUAGCGGAUGACUUGUGGCUGGGGGUGAAAGGCCAAUCAAACCGGGAGAUAGCUGGUUCUCCCCGAAAGCUAUUUAGGUAGCGCCUCGUGAAUUCAUCUCCGGGGGUAGAGCACUGUUUCGGCAAGGGGGUCAUCCCGACUUACCAACCCGAUGCAAACUGCGAAUACCGGAGAAUGUUAUCACGGGAGACACACGGCGGGUGCUAACGUCCGUCGUGAAGAGGGAAACAACCCAGACCGCCAGCUAAGGUCCCAAAGUCAUGGUUAAGUGGGAAACGAUGUGGGAAGGCCCAGACAGCCAGGAUGUUGGCUUAGAAGCAGCCAUCAUUUAAAGAAAGCGUAAUAGCUCACUGGUCGAGUCGGCCUGCGCGGAAGAUGUAACGGGGCUAAACCAUGCACCGAAGCUGCGGCAGCGACGCUGAUGCGUUGUUGGGUAGGGGAGCGUUCUGUAAGCCUGUGAAGGUGUGCUGUGAGGUAUGCUGGAGGUAUCAGAAGUGCGAAUGCUGACAUAAGUAACGAUAAAGCGGGUGAAAAGCCCGCUCGCCGGAAGACCAAGGGUUCCUGUCCAACGUUAAUCGGGGCAGGGUGAGUCGACCCCUAAGGCGAGGCCGAAAGGCGUAGUCGAUGGGAAACAGGUUAAUAUUCCUGUACUUGGUGUUACUGCGAAGGGGGGACGGAGAAGGCUAUGUUGGCCGGGCGACGGUUGUCCCGGUUUAAGCGUGUAGGCUGGUUUUCCAGGCAAAUCCGGAAAAUCAAGGCUGAGGCGUGAUGACGAGGCACUACGGUGCUGAAGCAACAAAUGCCCUGCUUCCAGGAAAAGCCUCUAAGCAUCAGGUAACAUCAAAUCGUACCCCAAACCGACACAGGUGGUCAGGUAGAGAAUACCAAGGCGCUUGAGAGAACUCGGGUGAAGGAACUAGGCAAAAUGGUGCCGUAACUUCGGGAGAAGGCACGCUGAUAUGUAGGUGAAGUCCCUCGCGGAUGGAGCUGAAAUCAGUCGAAGAUACCAGCUGGCUGCAACUGUUUAUUAAAAACACAGCACUGUGCAAACACGAAAGUGGACGUAUACGGUGUGACGCCUGCCCGGUGCCGGAAGGUUAAUUGAUGGGGUUAGCGCAAGCGAAGCUCUUGAUCGAAGCCCCGGUAAACGGCGGCCGUAACUAUAACGGUCCUAAGGUAGCGAAAUUCCUUGUCGGGUAAGUUCCGACCUGCACGAAUGGCGUAAUGAUGGCCAGGCUGUCUCCACCCGAGACUCAGUGAAAUUGAACUCGCUGUGAAGAUGCAGUGUACCCGCGGCAAGACGGAAAGACCCCGUGAACCUUUACUAUAGCUUGACACUGAACAUUGAGCCUUGAUGUGUAGGAUAGGUGGGAGGCUUUGAAGUGUGGACGCCAGUCUGCAUGGAGCCGACCUUGAAAUACCACCCUUUAAUGUUUGAUGUUCUAACGUUGACCCGUAAUCCGGGUUGCGGACAGUGUCUGGUGGGUAGUUUGACUGGGGCGGUCUCCUCCUAAAGAGUAACGGAGGAGCACGAAGGUUGGCUAAUCCUGGUCGGACAUCAGGAGGUUAGUGCAAUGGCAUAAGCCAGCUUGACUGCGAGCGUGACGGCGCGAGCAGGUGCGAAAGCAGGUCAUAGUGAUCCGGUGGUUCUGAAUGGAAGGGCCAUCGCUCAACGGAUAAAAGGUACUCCGGGGAUAACAGGCUGAUACCGCCCAAGAGUUCAUAUCGACGGCGGUGUUUGGCACCUCGAUGUCGGCUCAUCACAUCCUGGGGCUGAAGUAGGUCCCAAGGGUAUGGCUGUUCGCCAUUUAAAGUGGUACGCGAGCUGGGUUUAGAACGUCGUGAGACAGUUCGGUCCCUAUCUGCCGUGGGCGCUGGAGAACUGAGGGGGGCUGCUCCUAGUACGAGAGGACCGGAGUGGACGCAUCACUGGUGUUCGGGUUGUCAUGCCAAUGGCACUGCCCGGUAGCUAAAUGCGGAAGAGAUAAGUGCUGAAAGCAUCUAAGCACGAAACUUGCCCCGAGAUGAGUUCUCCCUGACUCCUUGAGAGUCCUGAAGGAACGUUGAAGACGACGACGUUGAUAGGCCGGAUGUGUAAGCGCAGCGAUGCGUUGAGCUAACCGGUACUAAUGAACCGUGAGGCUUAACCUUACAACGCCGAAGGUGUUU
RNAcentral lists this ribosomal RNA (2933 nucleotides) under Escherichia coli. RNAcentral describes it as "23S ribosomal RNA". It matches the Rfam family "Bacterial large subunit ribosomal RNA". The record is from RNAcentral. Lineage: Bacteria; Pseudomonadati; Pseudomonadota; Gammaproteobacteria; Enterobacterales; Enterobacteriaceae.